CCAAUAGCGUAUAUUAAAGUUGUUGCAGUUAAAAAGCUCGUAGUUGAAUUUCGGGGUCAGUAGGUUGGUCAUGCCACUGGUAUGUACUGGUCUCACUGAUUCCUCCUUCCUGAUGAACCGUAAUGCCAUUAAUUUGGUGUUGCGGGGAGACUGGACUGUUACUUUGAAAAAAUUAGAGUGUUUAAAGCAGGCUAACGCUUGAAUACAUUAGCAUGGAAUAAUGAAAUAGGACGUUCGAUCCUAUUUUGUUGGUUUCUAGGAUUGACGUAAUGAUUAAUAGGGAUAGUUGGGGGCAUUAGUAUUCAAUUGUCAGAGGUGAAAUUCUUGGAUUUAUUGAAGACUAACUACUGCGAAAGCAUCUGCCAAGGAUGUUUUCAUUAAUCAAGAACGAAAGUUAGGGGAUCGAAGACGAUCAGAUACCGUCGUAGUCUUAACCAUAAACUAUGCCGACUAGGGAUCGGAUGAUGUUAAUUUUAUAAUGACUCAUUCGGCGCCUUACG
This 500-nucleotide ribosomal RNA is filed under the name uncultured Glomeromycotina. RNAcentral's name for it is "partial small subunit ribosomal RNA". It matches the Rfam family "Eukaryotic small subunit ribosomal RNA", at positions 591 to 1092 of the family's 1831-position model. Lineage: Eukaryota; Fungi; Glomeromycota. The record is from RNAcentral.